UUAUGUCCAAACACCUAUUUAAAGCUACAGUGUGUAAUAUUUAGUGUCAUCUAUUGGCGAGGUUGCAGAUUGCGUUAUGCUGUUGCUGGUCACGAUUUUGUUCCCCUUCAUGUUUUCAUUUCUCUGGUGACGGGUUCACAGUCUCUUGUCUUCUCUUGUGAUAAGCAGUAUGGUUGGUCCUCUAUUUUAUAAAAAUGAAGGUUCUCACACUUGCUAGCCUGCACGAGCAACCACUAGAUAACACAGCGAAGCAGCUACUGAUACCUCUUCAGUUUUGGAACUACACCGCAAAAUGCAAGAGUACGUGUGUCCCUUUUGGCUACUGUAUCAGCAUGUUGUCCUCUAUUUCCCCUAAUCAUUAUCCCUGAAUUCUACACACUAUAGCUUUAAAGAAAAUAAACAAUUGACAGAUUACCAGACUAAUAUUCAUAAAUAAAUAAAGCUUAAAACUGAGCCAGAAAGUGAAACUCUCAAUUUGCCCAUCGAUUUACAGUCCUGUGUUCAUAAACUAUGGAUAUAAUGACCAAAAGAACAAGGUUGUGGAUACAAGCGGUGGAAAUUGGAUUCCUCUGUCAAGUAUAUAUGUUCUACACUCAGGGACAGAGUACGAAGUUCCCAUUGUGCAAUGAAGAUACCCCCUAGUCAUCUCCCUAGGGAGGUCUUCCAGGCAAAUGCAACUGGGAGGAGGCCCCGGGGGCAGAUCAAGGACACAAUGGAGGGAAUAUAUUUCCCAGUUGGCUUGGAAACAUCUCUGCAUGAAGAUGUAGAGGACUGCCAAGGAUAGGGAAGUAUGGGAUGAGCUGCUUGGUCUGCUGCCCAGAUAACCAUCAGGAAAUGAAUGAAUCAGACUGGAUUUCUUCAUAAUUGUCGUGCCUGAUAGUCAGUGAUCACUGUUAUAAAAUGCAAAAACCGUGAUGAAAUACAUACUGAUUUUUGUCAGAAUUUGUUUUUAGAUAACUUGAAGGAACAAUGUUUUUUUUAAUGCUGAAAGGAUCCUCAUAUUUUACUAAUUUAUAUUUAUUUAGUAAUAUUAUUUAGCAGCUGUUCACUAUUUGUAAAUGUUGUAUAUGCUUGAAUUGUGGCUAACACAUUUGCACAGUACUGUCACAAAAUGUCCAAAUAAUCUGUUGUCAGCAGGUUGUUUUUAAUUACUGAGACACAGCUGUAGAUAUAUGAUUUUUAUUUUUUCUUUAUAGAGUGCACAUUCUGCUCUCACUGUGUCAGAGUGUUUGUGCUUUUGCCCUUCUCUGUGUGACUGCACAGAAUAAGUCAAAAACGGAGUCUUAUAGUUUCUGUUCCUUCUUUGUAGGAGUAGGUUUUAGGAUUGUGAACAGUUCAUUAGCAGGAAUUGGUGAAAGGCUUUUUAAUUGUUUUGUUGAGAAUGUUUGCAAUUCAUGCUUUGGCAGAGGUUUGCACUCUACAAUGCAGUCUGAACAGUUUUUUUUUUUCCUUCACACAUUUUAGAAAUAUUAAAUAAGAAUGAUAUUGAAUGUCAGUCUGUUGUAAUUACAAAAUGACGAGAUGAUCAGAAGAACUUACUUCAUAAUUUAUGAUGUAAUGUAGUGAUUAACAACAAGUAUGGAAAAAGUUUUGCAUCUGAAAGUGCGUAUAAUGCAGAAAUUACAAAAAAAAAAACCUGGAAUCUAUUUUUAAUAAAUUUAUGCUAAAGUGU
Long non-coding RNA from Thalassophryne amazonica, 1672 nucleotides. RefSeq lists it as uncharacterized. The transcript has 3 exons. Lineage: Eukaryota; Metazoa; Chordata; Actinopteri; Batrachoidiformes; Batrachoididae. The record is from RefSeq and is a predicted model, not a curated record.